GCGUGUUAGCGUGCGUGGCGUGGCGUGGCAUGGCGUGGCGUGGCUGUACAGCGUCGUUCCGUUCCGUGCCGAGCCGAGCCGUGCACAGUUCGCAACACGGUGUUCGUGUUCGUGUUGCACGACUGUCUCGCUCCCGCACGCGUUCGUACGUGUAGCCGAGCGAGGCUACGCGCGGCUCCGUGUAUAUCGCGUUGCGUUGUGUGUUGGCAGAACGUCGCGGUAGCCGCGCCAGAGAGAUGGGAUUGCGCGAUAGGCCGCGUGUCGAAAAUAGAAAUAUAAUCUGAUAGGCUCAUUGUGCCC
Molecule: long non-coding RNA, 300 nt
Organism: Bombus terrestris (buff-tailed bumblebee)
Lineage: Eukaryota; Metazoa; Arthropoda; Insecta; Hymenoptera; Apidae
Exons: 3
Source: RefSeq, a predicted model, not a curated record